AUUGAACGCUGGCGGCAGGCCUAACACAUGCAAGUCGAGCGGUAGAGAGGUGCUUGCAUCUCUUGAGAGCGGCGGACGGGUGAGUAAUGCCUAGGAAUCUGCCUGGUGGUGGGGGAUAAACGUUCGGAAACGGACGCUAAUACCGCAUACGUCCUACGGGAGAAAGCGGGGGAUCUUCGGACCUCGCGCCAUUAGAUGAGCCUAGGUCGGAUUAGCUAGUUGGUGAGGUAAUGGCUCACCAAGGCGACGAUCCGUAACUGGUCUGAGAGGAUGAUCAGUCACACUGGAACUGAGACACGGUCCAGACUCCUACGGGAGGCAGCAGUGGGGAAUAUUGGACAAUGGGCGAAAGCCUGAUCCAGCCAUGCCGCGUGUGUGAAGAAGGUCUUCGGAUUGUAAAGCACUUUAAGUUGGGAGGAAGGGUAGUAACC
This 431-nucleotide ribosomal RNA is filed under the name uncultured bacterium. RNAcentral's name for it is "bacterial SSU rRNA". It matches the Rfam family "Bacterial small subunit ribosomal RNA", at positions 30 to 460 of the family's 1533-position model. The record is from RNAcentral.